AAAAUUUUGGAAAGCUUCACGAAUUUGCGUGACAUCCUUGUGCAGGAAACAUGCUAAUCAUCUCUGUAUUGUUCCAAUUUUAGUACAUGUUCAGGAAUGAAC
RNAcentral lists this small nuclear RNA (102 nucleotides) under Ancylostoma caninum (dog hookworm). The record is from RNAcentral. Lineage: Eukaryota; Metazoa; Nematoda; Chromadorea; Rhabditida; Ancylostomatidae.